RNAcentral lists this unclassified non-coding RNA (343 nucleotides) under soil metagenome. Its description in RNAcentral is "partial contains 5.8S ribosomal RNA, internal transcribed spacer 2, and large subunit ribosomal RNA". The stretch from base 1 to 120 matches the Rfam family "5.8S ribosomal RNA", at positions 35 to 154 of the family's 154-position model. The record is from RNAcentral.
GAUGAAGAACGUAGCGAAAUGCGAUAAGUAAUGUGAAUUGCAGAAUUCAGUGAAUCAUCGAAUCUUUGAACGCACAUUGCGCCCUUUGGUAUUCCGAAGGGCAUGCCUGUUCGAGCGUCAUUACACACCUCAAGCUCUGCUUGGUAUUGGGCCCUCGUCCGUCAGGGACGGGCCUCAAAACCCUCGGCGGCGGUGCCCGGCUUUGAGCGUAGUAGAACUUCCUUUCUCGCUCUGAAAGCCCGUGGCGCCCGCUUGCCGGACGACCCCCCAAUCUUUCUUCGAAGGUUGACCUCGGAUCAGGUAGGGAUACCCGCUGAACUUAAGCAUAUCAAUAAGCGGAGGA